Molecule: ribosomal RNA, 478 nt
Filed under: uncultured bacterium
Lineage: Bacteria
Description: partial 16S ribosomal RNA
Rfam family: Bacterial small subunit ribosomal RNA
Source: RNAcentral
AACAAACGCUGGCGGCGUGCCUAAUACAUGCAAGUCGAACGGGGAAAGUAGCAAUACGAGUACUAGAGGCGCACGGGUGAGGAAUACAUGGGUAAUCUGCCCUCGAGUUUGGGAUAACCAGUCGAAAGAUUGGCUAAUACCGGAUAUGACCACAGGAUCUGCGGAUCGAGGGGUAAAAGGUUUUUCGCUCGAGGAUGAGCCCAUGUGGGAUUAGCUAGUUGGUGAGGUAACGGCUCACCAAGGCGACGAUCCCUAACUGGUCUUAGAGGAUGAUCAGUCACACUGGAACUGAGACACGGUCCAGACUCCUACGGGAGGCAGCAGUAGGGAAUAUUGCACAAUGGAGGAAACUCUGAUGCGGCGACGCCGCGUGAGUGAUGAAGGCCUUCGGGUCGUAAAGCUCUGUCGUAUGGGACUAACACAAUGAAGGUACCAUGCAAGAAAGGAUCGGCUAACUUCGUGCCAGCCGCCGCGGUAA